RNAcentral lists this ribosomal RNA (552 nucleotides) under Cladosporium tenuissimum. RNAcentral describes it as "eukaryotic LSU rRNA". The stretch from base 186 to 339 matches the Rfam family "5.8S ribosomal RNA". The record is from RNAcentral. Lineage: Eukaryota; Fungi; Ascomycota; Dothideomycetes; Cladosporiales; Cladosporiaceae.
CCGUAGGUGAACCUGCGGAGGGAUCAUUACAAGUGACCCCGGUCUAACCACCGGGAUGUUCAUAACCCUUUGUUGUCCGACUCUGUUGCCUCCGGGGCGACCCUGCCUUCGGGCGGGGGCUCCGGGUGGACACUUCAAACUCUUGCGUAACUUUGCAGUCUGAGUAAACUUAAUUAAUAAAUUAAAACUUUUAACAACGGAUCUCUUGGUUCUGGCAUCGAUGAAGAACGCAGCGAAAUGCGAUAAGUAAUGUGAAUUGCAGAAUUCAGUGAAUCAUCGAAUCUUUGAACGCACAUUGCGCCCCCUGGUAUUCCGGGGGGCAUGCCUGUUCGAGCGUCAUUUCACCACUCAAGCCUCGCUUGGUAUUGGGCAACGCGGUCCGCCGCGUGCCUCAAAUCGACCGGCUGGGUCUUCUGUCCCCUAAGCGUUGUGGAAACUAUUCGCUAAAGGGUGCUCGGGAGGCUACGCCGUAAAACAAACCCAUUUCUAAGGUUGACCUCGGAUCAGGUAGGGAUACCCGCUGAACUUAAGCAUAUCAAUAAGCGGAGGAAG